GAUGAAGAACGCAGCGAAAUGCGAUAAGUAAUGUGAAUUGCAGAAUUCAGUGAAUCAUCGAAUCUUUGAACGCACAUUGCGUCCGCCAGUAUUCUGGCGGGCAUGCCUGUUCGAGCGUCAUUACAACCCUCAGGCCCCCGGGCCUGGCGUUGGGGAUCGGCGGAGCCCCCCGUGGGCACACGCCGUCCCCCAAAUACAGUGGCGGUCCCGCCGCAGCUUCCAUCGCGUAGUAGCUAACACCUCGCGACUGGAGAGCGGCGCGGCCACGCCGUAAAACACCCAACUCUUCUGAAGUUGACCUCGAAUCAGGUAGGAAUACCCGCUGAACUUAAGCAUAUCAAUAAGCGGAGGA
Molecule: unclassified non-coding RNA, 352 nt
Filed under: soil metagenome
Description: partial contains 5.8S ribosomal RNA, internal transcribed spacer 2, and large subunit ribosomal RNA
Rfam family: 5.8S ribosomal RNA (bases 1-120)
Source: RNAcentral